CACGUAAGGGGCGAGCGUUGUUCGGAAUUAUUGGGCGUAAAGGGCACGCAGGCGGCCUGACAAGUCUGGUGUGAAAGAUCCGGGCUCAACUCGGAGAACGCGCUGGAAACUGUCGAGCUAGAGUAUUGGAGGGGGAGUCGGAAUUCCUAGUGUAGGGGUGAAAUCUGUUGAUAUUAGGAAGAACACCGGUGGCGAAGGCGGACUCCUGGCUGAAUACUGACGCUGAGGUGCGAAAGCAUAGGGAGCAAACAGG
Molecule: ribosomal RNA, 253 nt
Filed under: uncultured bacterium
Lineage: Bacteria
Description: partial 16S ribosomal RNA
Rfam family: Bacterial small subunit ribosomal RNA
Source: RNAcentral